RNAcentral lists this ribosomal RNA (216 nucleotides) under Glomeromycotina sp. RNAcentral's name for it is "partial small subunit ribosomal RNA". The stretch from base 40 to 216 matches the Rfam family "Eukaryotic small subunit ribosomal RNA", at positions 686 to 864 of the family's 1831-position model. Lineage: Eukaryota; Fungi; Glomeromycota. The record is from RNAcentral.
GGGUCAGUAGGUUGUUCGUGCCACCGGUACGUACUGGUCUCACUGAUUCCUCCUUCCUGAAGAACCGUAAUGCCAUUAAUUUGGUGUUGCGGGGAAACAGGACUGUUACUUUGAGAAAAUUAGAGUGUUUAAAGCAAGCUAACGCUUGAAUACAUUAGCAUGGAAUAAUGAAAUAGGACGAUCGAUCCUAUUUUGUUGGUUUCUAGGAUUGACGUA